Triticum dicoccoides is the source of this 809-nucleotide long non-coding RNA. RefSeq lists it as uncharacterized. The record is from RefSeq and is a predicted model, not a curated record. The transcript is spliced from 3 exons. Lineage: Eukaryota; Viridiplantae; Streptophyta; Magnoliopsida; Poales; Poaceae.
UCCAGCGCCGCUCCCACCUUCUACUCUCUCCACGAUCCCCUCCCCUCCCACCUCGCCGAGCCUCGAUCUGGCCGGAUCUUGCCAAUCCACACACGGAUCUGGCCUAACAAUUCCGCAGCUGCGGCGGCGGGCCACCAGGACGGCGGCGGGAACCACCAACCCAUCUUGAGAUCUCAACGGCGGCGGGUACCAAGAACCGAUGUUGCACCAACCGCGCGCGUCACAAGGAGGGCGAGUGUGGUUGCUGCCGGAGUAGUGAACGCUGCGCUUGGCGCUGGACCAGCGGGGGAUGGGUGGGCCGUGAGGCUUCAUUGGGUCGUUUCCAACUGCCCCGGCAUCGGCGGCGAUGAGUUGGUGCGCCAGCAGACAUGACCGUCCGCGCGCAAGGACCCCAUGAAUCCCGUGUACGCGGCCAAGGUGACCACGCCACUCGCAGCUCCAUCUGGGCUAUCCUCACUGUCAUCGUCACUUUCGGCCGGUGCCAGCAUCGAUGACAUAAUUUAUCAAUAGUGGGUUCAGUAGUAACUCAAAUCUGUUUCUCUGAAUGUGCCAGCGUGUGAUGGAAUUUAUCAUUGGAUAUUCUGCAAUCCAGAAGAACUGGCUACUCAGAAGUGGAUGACAGUGAACAGGAGAAGCUAUGGUUUCUUGAUUUGUUGUUAUGUGUAUGUGUUGUCAUGAAGCAUAGUGGUUCUGGCUUUGUGUAAAAUCAUUAUAAGUAUAGUACCUCUUUAGAGGAGUUUAACGCUGAACUAUGUAUGUGAUUCAUGUACCUGAAGUAUCCACUAUGAUGCCUAUUGCUGAAAACAAUA